UGUUUAAUUUAUCUUUCAGAUUGAGAUGGAAUUAGAUGAUAAUGAUGCGCCUCCAAAUAUAUCGCAAUGCGAAUCAGAAGCAAUGACAGAAGAAAAUCAAUAUAAGGAAAAGGACCAGGCUUCAAACGUAUUACCUGAAAAUCAAUGUGAAGAAAGUAAUGCACUUCCAUAUAUAGUUGAAGGCACAUCUGAAGUAACGAUGCAGCCUGAAAUACAAAACUUGGGGCACCGAAUAAUAGAUUUUAAUCAUUUCACAUCAGAACUUGUAAAAAUUUCUCAACACAAAUCUCUGUUUAAAUGCGGAUUAUCUACAAUGAAAUUAAUUUCUGAACAUCGAAUAGGAUUGCAAUCUGAAUACACAUAUGUAUGUAUGAUGUGUAAUUAUAAAAAUAAAAUAAAAUCGUCAUUGGAUGAUGUGAACAAAGAUGCUGU
Molecule: long non-coding RNA, 432 nt
Organism: Leptidea sinapis
Lineage: Eukaryota; Metazoa; Arthropoda; Insecta; Lepidoptera; Pieridae
Exons: 3
Source: RefSeq, a predicted model, not a curated record